RNAcentral lists this ribosomal RNA (254 nucleotides) under uncultured bacterium. RNAcentral's name for it is "partial 16S ribosomal RNA". It matches the Rfam family "Bacterial small subunit ribosomal RNA", at positions 524 to 776 of the family's 1533-position model. The record is from RNAcentral.
UACGUAGGGUGCAAGCGUUGUCCGGAAUUAUUGGGCGUAAAGAGCUCGUAGGCGGUUUGUCGCGUCUGCUGUGAAAACGCGAGGCUCAACCUCGCGCCUGCAGUGGGGUACGGGCAGACUAGAGUGCGGUAGGGGAGAUUGGAAUUCCUGGUGUAGCGGUGGAAUGCGCAGAUAUCAGGAGGAACACCGAUGGCGAAGGCAGAUCUCUGGGCCGUAACUGACGCUGAGGAGCGAAAGCGUGGGGAGCGAACAGG